UAAUUUUUAAUGGUUGAUAUCUGUCGUUUUCAAGUCUAACGAUGUAGAAGUAUUCAAAUCAGAUGAAAUUUUGAUACAAAAUUCUUUAUACUAUAUACAACAAGAUCAAUAUUUCUGAUCGAAAAUUUUAGUGCUAUAUCACCACUUUUUAUAAGAUUUUUAUAUUCAGCCAUUAAAAAUUAUUGAUUUUGAAUCCUUUCGAUUGCUAGGUAAAUAAUAUCGAAAAAUCGCAAAAAUAAUUUUCUAGAAACUUCAAAUACGCUAGAUCAAGUUUAACGAAGCCGAUCGUCGAUUAGAAAACUCCAUCAUCGAAAACGGCUCAGGAGCUCCGUGCNUUGUUAACAGUGUAUUUCAUGUAUAUUUUUCGGAAUCUUGUAGCCUGUGAAAAACACGUGCACGCACAGAGACGAAGCAAAAUACGAUGUUUCACGUACACAUUCUUCAAAUAAAUUCACAAAAACAAAACAAGAAUAUUCUUAGAAAACGGUUAAAGAAAAAAAAGGAAUGCGACUAUUUUAACUAUCGUUGUCUCGUCUAAAUAAGAGCUUAUUUGUAUCGAAAACACCUUCCAAUUGAUCGGGCAAAGGAAAAUUUUUGGGCCCUUAUUUGUGCUAAAAGUUUAAGAAUGGAAAAGAAAAAAUAUCUUUCGGCGUGGUAUACUAACUACGUAAUUUUCCAAACUCGUUGCAUGAGAUUGCUCUGAGACGUGGAGGGCGGAGAGGUGAGCGGUUGGUGAAAAAGAUAACAGUUUAAUUCAUUUACUCUUAUCCAAUUACAAGCUACUUUGCUAUAUAUAUAUAUAUAUAGAGUCCUGCUACUAUAGUCUUAUGAGUAUAGAGCCUUUUGUACUCAUAAAUUUUUUACCGUUUGAUCUACCCUUUAAUUAUUUUCACCCGUUAAAUUAUACUAUUCACCCACUCAACCCUAGGGGGCCCACUAUCAAUCUAACAAUAACCACUUUCAUCCCAACCGCACAUUUUUUCAUCUGAACGGCCAAAAAGUUAUGAGUACAAAGGACUCUAUACUCAUAUGAGUAAAGUAGCCCCAGCCAAUAUAUAUAUAUAUAUAUAUAUAUAUA
This 1078-nucleotide long non-coding RNA is filed under the name Ananas comosus (pineapple). Its description in RNAcentral is "long non-coding RNA (ACOM_LNC034380)". Lineage: Eukaryota; Viridiplantae; Streptophyta; Magnoliopsida; Poales; Bromeliaceae. The record is from RNAcentral.